This is a non-coding RNA of Pelobates cultripes (western spadefoot toad), 414 nucleotides long. Lineage: Eukaryota; Metazoa; Chordata; Amphibia; Anura; Pelobatidae. The record is from the annotation of a GenBank genome assembly.
GGCAGUCCGGCUGGUUAAAGGAAACAGAAGCUCCUAUACCAUAGUCCGCUCUGCUUGGCCACCCUUCAUUGAGUGACUGGCAGUAGGGAGCACUGUGCGCUUCCCUCCUGCCAGGUCUCUCUAAUCUAGCGCCCCCUGAGCUGCAGUGCCCUAAGGGGGCUACCUAUGCCACCUUAUGAACGUGCUGGCCCUGGGCUAGAAUCAGAGAACAGAGUACAUUGAAAUUAGAUCAGAUAGCAUAAAGUGACUAAAUUCAAAAUAAACCAGACUAUAGUAAAUGAUCAUCCAGGACAUUGCUCACAACUUUGCAAUCAAUAUUGUAAGAAAUGUUUGACAUGGUAAGAUAGUAAAUCUUAACACUUUAUCCUUUCGUAUUUACCUUACCUUCAACCAAUCACUAUCCUCCACUAUUCC